Molecule: ribosomal RNA, 466 nt
Filed under: uncultured bacterium
Lineage: Bacteria
Description: partial 16S ribosomal RNA
Rfam family: Bacterial small subunit ribosomal RNA
Source: RNAcentral
GAUGAACGCUGGCGGCGUGCUUAACACAUGCAAGUCGAACGAUGAAGCCCAGCUUGCUGGGUGGAUUAGUGGCGAACGGGUGAGUAACACGUGAGUAACCUGCCCUUAACUCUGGGAUAAGCCUGGGAAACUGGGUCUAAUACCGGAUAGGAGCGUCCACCGCAUGGUGGGUGUUGGAAAGAUUUAUCGGUUUUGGAUGGACUCGCGGCCUAUCAGCUUGUUGGUGAGGUAAUGGCUCACCAAGGCGACGACGGGUAGCCGGCCUGAGAGGGUGACCGGCCACACUGGGACUGAGACACGGCCCAGACUCCUACGGGAGGCAGCAGUGGGGAAUAUUGCACAAUGGGCGCAAGCCUGAUGCAGCGACGCCGCGUGAGGGAUGACGGCCUUCGGGUUGUAAACCUCUUUUAGUAGGGAAGAAGCGAAAGUGACGGUACCUGCAGAAGAAGCACCGGCUAACUACGUG